Molecule: ribosomal RNA, 255 nt
Filed under: uncultured bacterium
Lineage: Bacteria
Description: partial 16S ribosomal RNA
Rfam family: Bacterial small subunit ribosomal RNA
Source: RNAcentral
UACGAAGGUCCCGAGCGUUGUUCGGAAUCACUGGGCGUAAAGGGAGCGUAGGCGGCGUGGCAAGUCAGACGUGAAAUGCCGGGGCUCAACCCCGGAACUGCGUCCGAUACUGCCGCGCUAUCGAGGGUUGGAGAGGUGGCUGGAAUUCUUGGUGUAGCAGUGAAAUGCGUGGAUAUCAAGAGGAACACCCGUGGCGAAAGCGAGCCACUGGACAACACCUGACGCUGAGGCUCGAAGGCCGGGGUAGCGAAAGGG